RNAcentral lists this ribosomal RNA (506 nucleotides) under uncultured bacterium. RNAcentral describes it as "partial 16S ribosomal RNA". It matches the Rfam family "Bacterial small subunit ribosomal RNA", at positions 29 to 523 of the family's 1533-position model. The record is from RNAcentral.
AGUGAACGCUGGCGGUAGGCCUAACACAUGCAAGUCGAACGGCAGCACAGAGGAGCUUGCUCCUUGGGUGGCGAGUGGCGGACGGGUGAGGAAUACAUCGGAAUCUACUCUGUCGUGGGGGAUAACGUAGGGAAACUUACGCUAAUACCGCAUACGACCUACGGGUGAAAGCAGGGGAUCUUCGGACCUUGCGCGAUUGAAUGAGCCGAUGUCGGAUUAGCUAGUUGGCGGGGUAAAGGCCCACCAAGGCGACGAUCCGUAGCUGGUCUGAGGGGAGGAUCAGCCACACUGGAACUGAGGCACGGUCCAGACUCCUACGGGAGGCAGCAGUGGGGAAUAUUGGACAAUGGGCGCAAGCCUGACCCAGCCAUACCGCGUGGGUGAAGAAGGCCUUCGGGUUGUAAAGCCCUUUUGUUGGGAAAGAAAUCCAUCUGGUUAAUACCCGGGUGGGAUGACGGUACCCAAAGAAUAAGCACCGGCUAACUUCGUGCCAGCCGCCGCCGUAA